RNAcentral lists this ribosomal RNA (265 nucleotides) under uncultured archaeon. RNAcentral describes it as "partial 16S ribosomal RNA". It matches the Rfam family "Archaeal small subunit ribosomal RNA", at positions 719 to 982 of the family's 1478-position model. The record is from RNAcentral.
AGUCACUGACAUUAGAUACCCGGGUAGUCCAGGGUGUAAACUAUGCGCGUUAGGUGUAUCGGUGACCACGAGUUACCGAGGUGCCGAAGGGAAACCGUGAAACGUGCCGCCUGGGAAGUACGGUCGCAAGGCGUGAAACUUAAAGGAAUUGGCGGGGAGCACCACAACAGGUGGAGCCUGCGGUUUAAUUGGACUCAACGCCGGGAAGCUCACCGGAUAGGACAGCAGAAUGAUUGCCGGGCUGAAGACCCUGCAUGACUAGCUG